UCCGAUGGGAAGAGAAAACCCCAAAACACAAGGCAUUCCAUUUCCCUUCACAUAUUUCGAAUUUUGUCUCCGUUUAUUUCCUUCCUCCGCACUUCCACGGUUUCUCUUCUCCCCAAAAAUCGCUCCCUUCUCUUCUUUUCUCUCACAAAAUCCACUUCCUAACGUAACACAAGAAGCAGAAGCAGAAGCAGAAGCAGAAAGCAGAAAGCAGAAGCAGAAAGCAGGAAGCAGAAGAUAAUCAGAUACCUCAAAAACCAUUCUCUCUCUCUUUUUUUGGUUUAAUUUGUCUCUUUCUCUCUCUUCCUCCUGUGCGCGAUUAAAGAUCUGUUGCUGAAAAGGAUGAAGAGAGUAAGAGAUGAUGUGUUCGGCGGUGCUCAAUUGAAGCGGCCCCCCGGUUCGUCGCGCGGGGACUCGCAAUCCCAGAUACCGGGGGGAGGAGGUGGAGGAGGGGGCGUUGGAGUAGGUGGAGGUGGGCCCAUUGGAGGAGUAGGAGGUGCUUCACAGAAAUUGACCACCAAUGACGCUCUAACCUACCUCAAAGAAGUGAAGGACAUGUUUCUAGACCAAAGAGAAAAAUACGAUACAUUUCUUGAGGUCAUGAAAGAUUUCAAGGCUCAAAGAACCGACACAGCAGGUGUCAUUGCAAGAGUAAAGGAAUUAUUUAAAGGGCAUAACAACUUAAUUUUGGGCUUUAAUACCUUCUUGCCGAAGGGUUAUGAGAUAACCCUUGAUGAAGAUGAGACUCCACCAAAAAAGACAGUUGAGUUUGAGGAAGCUAUCAGUUUUGUAAACAAGAUAAAGAAACGUUUCCAAAAUGAUGAUCAUGUCUAUAAAUCAUUCCUGGACAUACUAAACAUGUAUCGAAAGGAGCACAAGGAUAUAAAUGAAGUUUACAGUGAGGUUGCUGCUCUUUUUGAUGAGCAUCCAGAUUUACUUGAUGAGUUCACCAGAUUUUUACCAGAUGCGUCAGCAGCAGCUUCAGCACAUCAAGCUCAAUAUGGCCACAAUUCAUUUCCCCGUUUCAAUGAGCGAAGCUCUGCUACACCCACAUUUCGGCCAAUGCAUAUGGAGAAGCAACGUAGGAGGGAUAGGAUCAUGACACCCCAUGCUGAUCGUGAUCUUAGUGUUGAUCGUCCUGAGCUCGACGAUGACAAAGGAAUGGUGAAAGUUCCGAAGGAGCACAGAAAGCGUAGUGAAAAGGAGAAUAGGGAUAGAAGAAAUCGGGACGAUGAUGAUAGAGAAUUAGAGAAUGAUAACAAUAGGGACUACAAAUUACAGCGUUUUCCUGAUAAAAGAAAACCCUCCAGGAAGGUUGAAGGUUUUGGUGUGACUGCUAACUUCGCUCCUUAUGAUGACAAAGACUCCUUAAAGAGCAUGUACAGCCAGGGAUUCAUUUUCUGUGGGAAGGUGAAGGAGAGGUUGUGUAGUCAAGAUGACUACGAGGCAUUUUUGAAGUUGCUUAACAUAUAUAGCAACGGAAUUAUUAAAAGGAAUGAUCUGCAAGGUUUGGUGACUGAUUUAUUGGGAAAGUAUUCAGAUCUUAUGGAGGAGUUUAAUGAUUUUUUGGAGCGUUGCGAGAAUAUAGAUGGGUUCCUUGCUGGUGUUAUGAGUAGAAAAUCUCUGAGUAGUGAUGGUCCUGUUCCUUCAUCUAGAUCCCUGAAGGUAGAGGACAAAAAUAAAGAGCCAAAGCGUGAAAUGGAGGGAGCUAAAGAAAAGGAAAGAUACAGGGAGAAGUAUUGGGCAAAAUCUAUUCAAGAGCUUGACCUCUCUAACUGUGAACGUUGUACUCCAAGCUAUCGGCUUCUGCCUGAAGACUAUCCAAUACCUUCAGCAAGCCAGAGAUCAGAACUUGGUGCUCAGGUUCUGAAUGACCAUUGGGUAUCUGUGACUUCAGGAAGUGAAGAUUACUCUUUUAAACAUAUGCGCAGAAAUCAGUAUGAAGAAAGUCUGUUCAGAUGUGAGGAUGAUAGGUUUGAGUUGGAUAUGUUGUUAGAGUCGGUGAGCUCAACUGCUAAGCGAGCAGAGGAACUCUUGAACAGCAUCAAUGAAAAUAAGAUCAGCAUGGAAACUGUAAUCCGUAUUGAAGACCACUUCACUGCUUUAAACUUAAGGUGCAUUGAACGUUUAUAUGGUGACCAUGGUCUUGAUGUGAUGGACAUACUGCGGAAAAAUCCAACUCUGGCCUUGCCUGUUGUAUUAACUCGCCUGAAGCAGAAACAAGAUGAAUGGACAAGGUGUAGAUCCGAUUUUAACAAGGUUUGGGCAGAUAUAUAUGCCAAAAACCAUUACAAAUCACUUGAUCACCGGAGCUUCUAUUUCAAGCAACAAGAUUCAAAGAACUUGAGUAGCAAAUCUUUGGUGGCUGAGAUCAAAGAAUUGAAAGAGAAAAAGCAGAUAGAGGAUGAUAUCCUUCUGGCUGUUGCUGCUGGAAACAGGCAAUCUAUAGUUCCACAUAUGGAGUAUGAAUACUUAGAUAUCAGCUUACAUGAAGACUUGUAUAAACUUGUCCAAUAUUCAUGUGAAGAGGUUUUCUCAACGAAAGAACAAUUAAAUAAGGCUAUGAGACUUUACACUACCAUUUUGGAGCCAAUGCUGGGUGUUUCUUCUCGACCCAACGAUUCAGAGGAUGAUGAAGAUGUCGACAAAAGUAGGAAUCAGGCUAAGAAUUGUAUUGCUUCAAGCAUAGGAGAAAGCGAUGGAAGUCCUGGUGGCGAUUCUGCCCCAGUGAAUCUUAAGCAGCCCAAAUCUGUGUGUAAUGAAGAAGGAAAUGCUUUAGCAGAAGUUGAAAGUUUGGCUAACGGGGAUAACUCAGCUAAAGAAGAUGGAAGUCGUGAUGCACAUCCUGUCUCUAGGAAAGAUUCCACAUCUGAGAAACUUCAACUAGAGAGAGACCAGAAAAAUACGGAUGUCCCUAAGAAAAGGUUUCUGGCCACCAACACGGACAAUGCAUGGCCGUCCAGUCAACCAUCACAUCCAAUUGGAGCAGAUAAUAAUCAUGGUAGAACGAGCUUGGAAGUGCUAUCAGGGUGUGUUGCAACCACAUCAAGGGCUGGUGCCUCUAUUAGUGGCAAUGACCCUUUACAGCAAGGAAAUGCUGAUGCUGUUCCGUCAUCAGAGGGUGGUGAUAUUGCAAAACCUGCUUUAAUUGCUAAUGGAGUAUUUCCAGAAAGCACUAAAGUUAAAAGUCAUCAUGAAGAGUCUCUUGGGCCCUCCAAAAUUGAAAAGGAAGAGGGGGAAUUAUCACCAAUUGCUGACUUUGGGGAGGAUAACUUUGUUGUCCCUGGAGAUGCUGGGGUGCAAGCUAAGGCAAACCGCAGUAUUGAAAGUAGACUGUUUCAGUCUGGGAAUAGGGAAGACAUUAGUGGUCAGGAAGCUGGAGACAAUGAUGCAGAUGCAGAUGAUGAAAACAGUGAAAAUGUUUCCGAGGCUGGUGAAGAUGUCUCUGGCAGUGAGACAGCUGGUGAUGAAUGUUCCCGAGAAGAGCAAGGUGAUGAUGAAGAUGCUGAACAAGAUGACAUUGAUGGUAAGGCUGAGAGCGAAGGUGAGGCUGAAGGGAUGGCUGAUGGACAUCUUGUUGGAGGAGAUGGAAUGUGUUCGCCGUUGUCCGAAUGUUUUCUUUUAUCUGUGAAACCUCUUGCGAAGCAUGUACCAGGUUCUUUACUUGAAGAAAGGAAAGACUCUCGUGUUUUCUAUGGGAAUGAUAAUUUCUAUGUGCUUUAUAGGCUUCAUCAAAUUCUAUAUGAAAGGAUUUUAUCUGCAAAAACAAGUUCCACAGGUGCAGAAAUGAAAUGGAGAACUUCAAAGGAUGGCAGCUCUCCGGAUCUGUAUGACAGAUUUAUGAGUGCUCUAUACAAUUUGCUAGAUGGAUCUAUUGAUAACGCAAAAUUUGAGGAUGAAUGCCGAGCUAUUAUUGGAAACCAGUCAUAUAUAUUAUUCACCUUGGACAAAUUAAUAUAUAAAUUCGUCAAACAGCUUCAAACUGUUGCAAGUGAUGAGACUGACAAUAAGCUGCUUCAAUUAUAUGAAUAUGAAAAGUCCCGGAAAACUGGGAAGUUAAUUGAUUCUGUUUACCAUGAAAAUGCACGUGUCCUCAUUCAUGAGGAGAAUAUUUACAGAUUGGAGUUUUCCUCUGUGCCCUCCCGACUGUCCAUCCAGUUGAUGGACAGUGUGAGUGAAAAGCCCGAGGUGUUUGCAGUUUCUAUGGAACCUAAUUUUGCAUCCUAUCUGCACAAUGAAUUUCUGCCGGUUUUUCCUGGAAAAAAGGAGCCGCAUGGGAUUACCCUUCAGAGAAACAAGCGCAAAUAUGCAGGGCAAGAUGAAUCCUCUGCCUUUUGCAGGGCCAUGGAUGGUGUUCAGUUAGUCAAUGGAUUGGAGUGCAAGAUAGCUUGCAACUCAUCCAAGGUAUCUCGCCCUCAUCUCUUACGUUCUUGACACAGAAGAUUACUUCUUCCGUAUGAGAAGGAAAAGGAGAACAUCUGGGGCCAGAUCACCGUAUUGUGAUCAGACGAGAGUACAGCGGUUCCACAAAUUCUUAUCAGUCUCAUCAUAGCUUAGAAGGAAAUUCCUUUUGAGAUUGGGAAGCUAAAGGAGUCAUCUACUCGAUUUCUGAGACCGGAGAAGGAUGGUGGUGGUCCUGCACACGUAGAGCAUGUCCGGGUCAGAAGAUCGGCCUAGGAGCCAUUGUUGUGUAUAUAAGGUUGGUGUAUGAUAAUUUCGUAGAAAAGGUAUUUUAAGUUAUAGUUCCUUGUCAUAGAUAGGAUAUUUUCUUCCCCACUUCCAUAAGCACACUUAGUGUAACAAAUUGAUCAAAUAUAGCAGAAAAGCGCGCGUGUUUUAACAAAUCCCGGGCUUUCUUUGCGGUCUCAUACCAGCAUUUUGCAGGCAUUACUGCAUCAUUAUUCUUUUCCGCCGUAAGAUUAUGUCAGUUUUAUAGAACAGAUUCUUUAAAUUUCAGUGUAAAGUAGUGUGAUAAGAUAUCUAUCUGUAAUAGUUUACAACUGUUCGCGUUCUUCGUCAAUAACUCUUUUUGCUCUGGAAAA
This is an RNA transcript of Malus domestica (apple), 5039 nucleotides long. It is a transcript of the gene named paired amphipathic helix protein Sin3-like 2, with no coding region annotated. Lineage: Eukaryota; Viridiplantae; Streptophyta; Magnoliopsida; Rosales; Rosaceae. The record is from RefSeq and is a predicted model, not a curated record.